RNAcentral lists this ribosomal RNA (117 nucleotides) under Nautilia sp. The record is from RNAcentral. Lineage: Bacteria; Pseudomonadati; Campylobacterota; Epsilonproteobacteria; Nautiliales; Nautiliaceae.
UUUAGUGGGUAUAGCGAAGGGGUAACACCUUGCUCCAUCUCGAACCAAGCAGUUAAGCCCUUCUGCGCUGAUGAUACUCCUCCCCCUCGGGAGCGGAAAAGUAGGCCCCCGCUAAAC